AUGUCGUAUGGAGGCCGAUUGAUUCUCAUUAAUUCGCUGCUCACGAGUAUGCCUAUAUUUCUUUUAUCCUUUUUUGAAGUACCAGUUGGAGUUAGGAAAAGGCUGGACUUCUAUCGGUCACGUUUCUUCUGGCAGAGUGAUGAACUUAAGAGAAAGUACCGUUUAGCCAAAUGGGAUGUCAUCUGCCGACCAAAAAACCAAGGGGGUCUUGGGGUUGAGAACCUUGAAGUCAAGAACAUAUGCCUUCUCAGUAAGUGGCUAUAUAAGUUAUCUGCCGAGACUGAGGCAACUUGGGCGCAGAUUCUUCGUAACAAGUAUCUGUACUCUAAGACAUUAUCGCAGGUGACAGUUAGACCAACUGAUUCGCCUUUUUGGAAGGGGCUAAUGAGGGUCAAAGCUACUUUCUUUAAUAGAACAAAGUUUAUUGUCGGUGAUGGCAAUAACACUCGAUUCUGGGAGGAUACUUGGCUCGGUGAUACGCCGCUAGCUCUUCAGUAUCCGUCACUAUAUCGUAUUGUGCAGCGACGCGAUGCUCUGGUUGCAACGAGUUUGCAAUCCGCUCCCCUUAAUACUCAAUUUAGGAGGGUGCUUGUUGGGGACCGAUGA
This 606-nucleotide ribosomal RNA is filed under the name Triticum aestivum (bread wheat). RNAcentral describes it as "partial small subunit ribosomal RNA". The record is from RNAcentral. Lineage: Eukaryota; Viridiplantae; Streptophyta; Magnoliopsida; Poales; Poaceae.